AAAUCAGAUUCCUCCUCUCCUCUUAGCACCGGAGCUCCACCCCGCCGUUGCACACGUCGUCUCUGGAGCUGGCGCCGCCGCACUGAACUCAAGCCUGGACCACCUUAAAUUUUUGCACUAUAGAAUGUUCAGGAAGUUAUAAAACCUCAAGUCUCAACCCAAACAAGUUUUGUUGGAAGUAGUGGAGUUGGUAGAUAUGGAAACGGAGUUGGAGCUGGAAAAGGAAUUGGAACUGGUGCUGGAAAAGGAAGAGCUGGAAAUUGAGCUAGAAAAGAUUGAAGGGUAGUAGCAGUGUUAGUUUUGUAGGACCUUUUAUAUAUUAGGACCUUUGAUUGUUUGAACCUUUUAUGGUUACUGUUUUGUACAUCUGUCCAUAAGCUUAUUUGAUGGUGUUAAUGGACAAAAGUAACCUAUUUUAUGUUGAUCUUAGGUAGGACCUUUGGUU
Long non-coding RNA from Quercus lobata, 445 nucleotides. RefSeq lists it as uncharacterized. Lineage: Eukaryota; Viridiplantae; Streptophyta; Magnoliopsida; Fagales; Fagaceae. The transcript is spliced from 3 exons. The record is from RefSeq and is a predicted model, not a curated record.